AGCUACUUAAAAGGCAAAAUAACAUCUAGGGCAGCCUGUACUUAGAGGCACAGCCUGGAGCUGGCAUGACUGAGUGACAAUGGAGACCAGGAUUCUUACCUCCAAAAACUAAAAGUCAGUAUGGUAUGGGAGGCAAAUAUCCAAAUCUCAGGACAGAAUAUGGUGUGCACAAUGAAGAAAUGCAAGAGCCUCUCAGAACCAAAGAAUGGCACGUGCUGGAGGUGGGAGAGAACAACAGAAAAGAUUUAUUCAAGAGGUAGAACUUGCAUGCGCUGCUGUGGAUGGGUAGGAUUCUGAAAGUUGGGUAAGCAAGCCAGGUACAAAGCAGAGGCACAAAGACAGGAAGCAAAGCUCAUUCCAGUUAAAUAGUGGUUCAGUGUGAUUGGAGCAAAGGUUAGUGUAGAAGAAUUAACACAGCUAAUGCUUACUUAGUGCUUACUGCAUACUAAACACUGUCCUAAGAACAGUAAAGGUAUUUCUUCAGGUAAUUAUAGCAACCAUAAGGGAGAGAUAGUGUUAGCCCCAUUGUAUGGAUGAGCACUGUAGGCACAGACAGGUUGAGUAAAUUACCCAAUAUCAUUCAACAAGUGACUGAAGUAAAAGCUGAACACAAAAUAGUGUCAUUCAAGAAUACAGGGCUAUGGGUGUGGCUUAGUGAUAGAGUAUUUGCCUAGCAUGUGUGAGGCCCUAGGUUUAAUCCCUAACAUUAAAAAAAAAAAACUUGCUCUGGAGAGUGGUACACACUUUUAAUCCCAGCUACCUGGAAAACUGAGGCAGGAGGAUUGCAAGUUUGAGGCCAGUCUCAGUAACUUGACAAGACCGUGUAUCUGAAGGAAGGAAGGAAGGAAGGAAGGAAGGAAGGAAGGAAGGAAGGAAGGAAGGAAGGAAGGAAGGAAGGGACAG
Molecule: long non-coding RNA, 903 nt
Filed under: Marmota monax (woodchuck)
Lineage: Eukaryota; Metazoa; Chordata; Mammalia; Rodentia; Sciuridae
Source: RNAcentral